RNAcentral lists this unclassified non-coding RNA (2090 nucleotides) under Owenia fusiformis. RNAcentral describes it as "misc RNA OFUS_LOCUS21060". The record is from RNAcentral. Lineage: Eukaryota; Metazoa; Annelida; Polychaeta; Sabellida; Oweniidae.
AUGCCUCCAACAACAAUAACAACAUCUACUCCCAGCGCUACCUCUCCUGAAAAUAUCUCCACUUCAUCACCAAUAGAUGGUGCCACAACAACACAAGAUGUUAUCAAAAACAAGGAAUUCGAUGAAAGGAAAUCAGAAAAUGAAAUAAAUAAGAAUUAUAUUACUCCUGACACAAAACAUAAGCAUCGUAGCAAAAACAAUCAUCUGAAAGAUAAUGUUAAAAAUACUGAAGAUAUCCAUCCUGCCCCAAUACAAACAAUAGAUGGAGUUACUACCUCAAAGAUGCCCAGUGAAACCAUAGCAACAGAGAUUAGUAAAACAGUUACUAUAGCUACAGUACCAUCAACAAGCAAUCAACUUGAAAUAACUAAUGAUAGUGAAUUUAAAAAUACUCAAUAUAAAGAAGCAACUACUUCUGCUCCAACUAGACAUGUUACAUCUGCAACAGAAGAUACAUUAAAUGUUGAUAGUUUGGAAGUCAAUGAUUUUGAAUGGCUCCCUUUAAACUGGGCAAAGUGUACACGGCCCUGUGGCGAGGGAAUAAAGAAGAGAGAGGUUAUAUGUGCCAGUAAACUGCUUCAAAGUGAGGUGGAGGCUUCCAAAUGCUCCUCUCUACCUGCUGUUCCUAAUACACAGCCAUGUAAUGUUGAACCUUGCGUUGAGUGGGAGAUGUCAGAGUGGAGUACGUGUUCAAAGACAUGUGGUCGAGGAUCACAGGAGAGAGAAGUGACCUGCCCUAUACCCAACAUGUGUGAUGAUGAGAUGAAACCACAGACUGUACAGCUAUGUGAACUACAGGCCUGCUCAAGAUGGGUCAGUGGACAGUGGAGCAAGUGUACCAGAACAUGUGGAGGGGGCAAUCAGAUCCGCCAUGUACAAUGCGUAGACAACAGCAACAAUACUCCAACUACAGGCUGUGAUCCACAGCACCAACCUAAAACAUCAGCCAGAUGUAACACAGCUGCUUGUACACAUCAUAAAUCAGCUCACCUCAACACAGGCAAAUUCCAGUGUAGAAGGAAUACAAUGAGCAAUCACAUAUGUGGUGCCUUAAAACGAUUUGGACAAUGUCAACAAAGAUAUGUACAACUAAAAUGUUGUCGGACUUGUAAUAGCCACAGAUACCAUAGAACUAAGUCUAGGCUUAGAACUAGGACGACGUGAGGAGAGGAUUUUAUAGAUUUAAAUUAAUAUUAUGAUUGGUUUAUAUCAGUCUCAAGCUAUAUAUGUAUAUUAGUAUUAUGUAUAUGGAACAGACACCCCUCUCCAGGGGAAUAAUGGACUAGUCCCAUUGUUGAAACAGUGAAGUGGAAUAUUCCAUGUUGUGUAGUUUGGCCCAUGAGGGGUGUGAGAUUCGCCAACCCAAUAUGGGAAAACCUUUGAGUUGUGAAGAGAGAACUGAAUUUAGUUUGUACUGCAUUUAUAAUAGAAAUAAUAUUUAAAGUGACAUAUAGAUGGCAUAAUGAACUAGUAACAUUUUAAGGUUAAAAAGGAGAAUAAUACUACAUAUAGUAGAUGUACCUAUGCAAUUUGAAGCCAUUAAAUGACUAUUUAUUCUUCUCAUGACUUGUUUAAUAAAGCCUUGACUGCAGAUCGAUCAAUGUAACAAUGAUAUCAGGUUCUAAUUCACAUAAAGUCGUGAUGUUUUAUCUUCUUUUCAUACAGAAUGUGUACAUUAAUUGAUGAUGUUACACAUCAAGUGAUGAUGUCAUUACAUUCUUGAAAUUCAAGUCAAGUCAUAAUGUUUCACAUUAGUCAUGAUGUCUUUGUCAUCUUGAAAUGUACAUUAAAUCAUAAUGUCAUUACCUUUAUGUAAUAUAAGUAAAGAAUGAUAUCACACAUAAAGUCAUAAUGUCAUUUUAUAAAUGUUAAUCCUAACAUGACACUAUUGAAGGGUAGAGUGAGUAUGAGUACACGUCAUGAAAAUUAUGCUUGUAAUGUUAUUGAGUGGUGGAAAAGACAAGAUUUGUCAAAAGUGAACACUACAAAAAUUGUUUAUUUAUAACCCUCUUCCUCAAUAAAUAGAAUCAUACAGUUCUUAAAGGCCCCAUACAAAAUCUGAAAAUGUGGUUUAAACUUUAUAUGGGGCC